GACGAACGCUGGCGGCGUGCUUAACACAUGCAAGUCGAACGGAAAGGCUCCAGCUUGCUGGAGUACUCGAGUGGCGAACGGGUGAGUAACACGUGGGUAAUCUGCCCUGUACUCUGGGAUAAGCCUGGGAAACUGGGUCUAAUACUGGAUAUGACCUUUCUCCUUAUGGGGUUUGGUGGAAAGUUUUUCGGUGUAGGAUGAGCCCGCGGCCUAUCAGCUUGUUGGUGGGGUGAUGGCCUACCAAGGCGACGACGGGUAGCCGGCCUGAGAGGGUGAUCGGCCACAUUGGGACUGAGAUACGGCCCAGACUCCUACGGGAGGCAGCAGUGGGGAAUAUUGCACAAUGGGCGGAAGCCUGAUGCAGCGACGCCGCGUGAGGGAUGACGGCCUUCGGGUUGUAAACCUCUUUCAGCAGGGACGAAGCGUAAGUGACGGUACCUGCAGAAGAAGCACCGGCUAACUAUGUG
Molecule: ribosomal RNA, 467 nt
Filed under: uncultured bacterium
Lineage: Bacteria
Description: partial 16S ribosomal RNA
Rfam family: Bacterial small subunit ribosomal RNA
Source: RNAcentral